UCCCUCCUCUAGCCUUCCACUUUUUGACUUUUGUCAUAAUUAUAUUUAUACUUUGUCCACCACUGACUUAAUUUAACACACAUCCUUCUUCCCUGCCUUCCCAACUUCUCUUCAAUUUUGCAGUAUCAUGCCAGGGCCCGAUACAUGAGGGGCAUUAGAGAAGAGAAGCCAAGGUAGAGGGAUGAAUGCACACCAACAACAAAACACAUUCCAUUCAAAUCAUAUUUAUGUUUGUUACAUCAAAAAUCAGAGAAUUGUGGGCUGGGAAUUCCUGCUGCCAAGGAUCUAAAAAGUGGAAUUACAUGCAUGGGGGAGCUGAAUUCCGAGCUUGAAAAGGAAGAGCCAAUGGAUUCAAUUUUUCGCUCAUUGCAACACUUGAAAGCCUCUGCUGUAGUAAAACAUUGCAUCUUAGCAGCAUAUCAUCAUGAGAAAGAUCAAUGGCCUCUAUAACCAAUGUGAGAACUUAUUCAUUACCUCGCUCCAGGUUGGCUUUGAUCUAGUUUUUCCUCCACUGUUUGGGAUACUAGUGUUGAUCCAGUACUGUAUUCUGAACUGCCAGGAGAUUCGUGGAGAUUGGGUUCUCUGCAGGACGUUUCGUUGAUCAGGCCACAAAUAAUAAUUACCUUCGGAUCAUCCUUCUUGAUAAAGGUUCCUUGACUCUUGUUACCUUGAGCUGCUUGUGGUGGAGAAAUGAAGAGGUUAAUCCAUUAUCAUGAGCCCAAAAGUAAAACCAAAUGAAGCCACAACAAACAGAACCUACAAAGGAGUAACUAGUAGACUUGUUUCCAUUGGCUAAAUUUUAAGGAAGUUAUAUUCCUUGUCUCUGUGAUGUGUCUCCGGUUUUAACAAAAUGAUUAGGAAGUUGCUGCUUUUAAGUG
Molecule: long non-coding RNA, 878 nt
Organism: Benincasa hispida (wax gourd)
Lineage: Eukaryota; Viridiplantae; Streptophyta; Magnoliopsida; Cucurbitales; Cucurbitaceae
Source: RefSeq, a predicted model, not a curated record